CCAGACUCCUACGGGAGGCAGCAGUGAGGAAUAUUGGUCAAUGGCCGAGAGGCUGAACCAGCCAAGUCGCGUGAGGGAUGACGGCCCUACGGGUUGUAAACCUCUUUUGUCGGGGAGCAACGAGGCCACGUGUGGCCGAAGUGAGAGUACCCGAAGAAAAAGCAUCGGCUAACUCCGUGCCAGCAGCCGCGGUAAUGCGGAGGAUGCGAGUGUUAUCCGGAUUUAUUGGGUUUAAAGGGUGCGUAGGCGGAACAUUAAGUCAGCGGUAAAAUCGAGGGGCUCAACCCCUUUAAGCCGUUGAAACUGGUGAUCUUGAGUGGGCGAGAAGUAUGCGGAAUGCGUGGUGUAGCGGUGAAAUGCAUAGAUAUCACGCAGAACUCCGAUUGCGAAGGCAGCAUACCGGCGCCCGACUGACGCUGAGGCACGAAAGCGUGGGGAUCGAACAGGAUUAGAUACCCCUGUAAC
This 465-nucleotide ribosomal RNA is filed under the name uncultured bacterium. RNAcentral's name for it is "bacterial SSU rRNA". It matches the Rfam family "Bacterial small subunit ribosomal RNA", at positions 331 to 795 of the family's 1533-position model. The record is from RNAcentral.